GCGCAAGUGCCGUCCUAGCCCCGCCGCGUUUUUACGCAUCUGCAUCUUCCCGCGGAGCAGGUCCCAGAACUUUCUCGGUCAGGCAGGCUGGAAGGAGCACACCUGGGGUGAGGGCGCGGAGGAUCUGUGGAACCUGUGCGAGCGUUGGGCUGGCGUGGGGGCGGUGGGUGUCACCCGGAAGCCACUGGCUGGAAGUCCGGAGCCUGAGGGGCGCUCCAGGGCACGCGCUCCCCGUGGGCGGGUCUGGCCGAGCCCCGUGUGCAGUCGGUGCGCGGUGCGGGCCGAGGUGUGCGGGACCGUGUGCCGGGCACGGCCUGCAUCCCGACCCGGGCAGACCUCUGCGGGCGGCGGGAAGGGAAAGCGCGUUCCCGACGUUGACAGCGAAUGUGCUGGCAAGCGCGGGAGUGGUGGGGGGGGGGGGGGUCUGCGGUGGAGCCCGAGUUUGCGAGCCGCCAAGACCAGGGAGAUUCCAGGUCUGUCACCUGUAACCGGGGCGAGAGAAGUAACCUCGGAAAGAGGCAGGUCUUCUGGAAAUGACGAUAGUAGUGAGGGUAACGUCCGCUUGUGGGCGUGUCUCGGAGAGUUAGGUAAGAGCUCACCUGUGAAGGGUUACCCUACUGCCAGGUGCAGGUAGCGGCACACGCGUUACCCCGGUGUGGAAUCCGAGUCUCUCAGAUGGGUGAGAUCGUACAGUCUGCGGGGGCCAGCCAGGUGUCCACGGCGCUGUCCCUUUUGCUUCGCUUUCUGGCUUCGCUCACGUAAAGGGUAAAGUAGUCUUACGAAGACUCUGGAUAAAAAUGGAGCCUGCGUCUUUUUUCUGUGCUAAUUUUAAUGAAAGAGCAGUGCUUGAUCCUUUCGUAUACUCUGGUCAUUAGCUGAUUGUUUUUUUAACUUGAUAGAAAAAAGUUUAGAAACCUGCAGGCUUAUGCCCCCACGAUCACUUAAGGGACUCGUACGGACAGUCGUUGGCUCUGCACAGUCAUUCCCCUCCCUUUUCCAGGGUCCAACCGACCUAUUCCUGGAGGGAGCCUCCUCUCCUUCUGGGGUGCUGAGACUUUGUGGAAGUGAAUUUAGAAGCCGCCGGGCAGGCCAGACCCUUCACUGUCUCCCGAGAGGUGCAGAAAAUGAACACAUCUCAGGUGAGCCUUCGGUUCGUUCCUCACUUUGUAUUACGGUGGAUUUAAGAAGCUUAUAAAGAGACCAUACAUUCAGAAAAGUAGAAAAAGGUUUAGAUCAAGUUAAACUUUACUUUUUAACACUGGUUUACACUGUUUACCAUUAAUUCUGAUUUUUCUAAAUUUAUUUAUUUUGAGAGAGAGCAAGCGAGGGAGGGGCAGAGAGAGGGGGAAGAGAGAGAAUCCCAAGCAGGCUCCGCACUGUCAGCAUAGAGCCGGAUGUGGGCCUCCAACUCACCAACCGGGAGAUCAUGACCUGAGCGGAAACCGUGUCGGACACAACGGACUGAGCCACCUAGACGCUCCUCCUUCC
RNAcentral lists this long non-coding RNA (1488 nucleotides) under Lynx pardinus (Iberian lynx). The record is from RNAcentral. Lineage: Eukaryota; Metazoa; Chordata; Mammalia; Carnivora; Felidae.